Molecule: ribosomal RNA, 817 nt
Filed under: uncultured Bacteroidota bacterium
Lineage: Bacteria; Pseudomonadati; Bacteroidota
Description: bacterial SSU rRNA
Rfam family: Bacterial small subunit ribosomal RNA
Source: RNAcentral
AUGCAAGUCGAGGGGCAGCAUUAUUUUAGCUUGCUAAGAUAGAUGGCGACCGGCGCACGGGUGCGUAACGCGUAUGCAACCUGCCUGUAAUUAGGGAAUAACCCGGUGAAAGUCGGACUAAUACCCUAUAUUCUUCUUUCUCCGCAUGGAGGAGGACGGAAAGAUUUAUUGAUUACAGAUGGGCAUGCGUCCCAUUAGCUAGUUGGUAAGGUAACGGCUUACCAAGGUAACGGUGGGUAGGGGGACUGAGAGGUUGACCCCCCACACUGGUACUGAGACACGGACCAGACUCCUACGGGAGGCAGCAGUGAGGAAUAUUGGUCAAUGGGCGAGAGCCUGAACCAGCCAAGUCGCGUGAAGGACGACGGUUCUAUGGAUUGUAAACUUCUUUUGUAGAGGGAUAAUGGCAGCUACGCGUAGCUGAGAUGUAUGUACUCUACGAAUAAGUAUCGGCUAACUCCGUGCCAGCAGCCGCGGUAAUACGGAGGAUACGAGCGUUAUCCGGAAUUAUUGGGUUUAAAGGGUGCGUAGGUGGCGUAUUAAGUCAGUGGUGAAAAGCUGCAGCUCAACUGUAGUCUUGCCGUUGAAACUGAUAUGCUAGAGAGGAGACGAGGUAUGCGGAAUGUGUGGUGUAGCGGUGAAAUGCAUAGAUAUCACACAGAACGCCGAUUGCGAAGGCAGCGUACCAGGCUCCGUCUGACACUGAAGCACGAAAGCGUGGGGAUCAAACAGGAUUAGAUACCCUGGUAGUCCACGCAGUAAACGAUGAAUACUAGAUUUUUGCGAUAUAGUGUAAGAGUCUAAGCGAAAGCGAUAA